Molecule: long non-coding RNA, 434 nt
Organism: Ziziphus jujuba (common jujube)
Lineage: Eukaryota; Viridiplantae; Streptophyta; Magnoliopsida; Rosales; Rhamnaceae
Exons: 2
Source: RefSeq, a predicted model, not a curated record
AGAGAGGAACAACUUCAUUGAUUUUGGUGGUUGAGAAAUUCAGAUACAACUUCAAGAAGGAUAGGAUUCCAAGUUCCGUUUGAUUUUGGUGGUUGAGAAAUUUGGAGGAUGAAUGGAAUAUGGCUUUGCAUGGCAUAUUGUGAUAAUGGGAUUGUGGUUGAUGGUGGUUGCUCGUGGAAUGAAGUGUGUGGAAGAAGACUAUUUAAAAUAAUUUUUAUUUUUAUGUAUUGUUAGUUUAUUAAAUUCUAAGUUAAUUUUGAAGUUUAAGAUAUCAAAUAUGGUUGUAUUCUAUUUUAUAACUAAUAUUGGUUGUAAACUUGUUGGAGAAUUUAUUUGUUGUUGUAUGAUGUAUUUGUAUAAUUAGGUGAUAGCUAUAAACUUGUAUUGUAGUUGUAUAGUUUUAUGUUGUAUUAUUUCACAUGUUUGAUGCUUAA